RNAcentral lists this long non-coding RNA (2840 nucleotides) under Coffea arabica (coffee). RNAcentral describes it as "long non-coding RNA (CARA_LNC007315)". Lineage: Eukaryota; Viridiplantae; Streptophyta; Magnoliopsida; Gentianales; Rubiaceae. The record is from RNAcentral.
UUUCCUCUUCGUUUCCCCCCUGUUCUUCUAUGACCUGUAUAAUUUAGGGUUGCACAUUUUCUCGAAAUUUAUUGUGUUCUAAUCUUGAAUUUGUCCAAAAGAUUGGAUCUUUCAAGUUUAUGAUGUAUGGGUUUGUAAAUUGGAGCUCGUAGCAGCUGAAGGGAUCAUUUUUCUAUUACUCCAGUUUCACUCAUGGGCUGCACACUUAUCAGAUUUUACUGCAAAGAGGGCUAUCUUUCUUUCAAUUUCUUGCUCUGAAAGCACAGGUCAAGGUAUAAAGUAGGCCAAGUAAUCCUUUUGCCUUUUUGCCUUUAUUUUUUUGGAGCCAUUGUUUGGGUUAUUCAUUUUCUUUAGAAUUGGGAUCAAUAUAACUACAUGUAGUGAUUAAUCAUCUUAGGCUCACUUUUGCUGAAAAGUCUUUUUUCUUUUGGGAUUUUUGUUUCAGUUUCCAUAAUUUGUUGUUGUUCGAGAAAUCUUUUGUAGUUCAUAUUUAUGAUCAGCUGAGAAGUGAGAACCCUCUGGAAGCUACUUUAAAGUGAUGAAUUGCACUCUCUCUGUAAGGAAAUGCUAUUUGUUUACUCAAUUAGGGUGUUUUUGUAUUCAUAUACUAUGCAUAGGUUGUAUGUGUGUGUGUGGAUUUUUGAAGAAGAUAUAAUUGGCGUAAAAACUUUGACUUGUCUGCAUUUGAGCAAAACUUCAAAAGAAAUCUAAUAUAUUUGGUUUACAUUAAGCCUUUUAUGUCCAAAUGCAAUAUUUGCUUAGUGCUGAACUAUUAUGCAAAUGCAAGUUUUUGACUUGGCAUUCUUUACGGUUUACUUUUGCGAUAACGCCUGAUGAGGCUUAUUUUUCUGUUUACUAGUAAGUCAGGAUGUUAUGCUGCCCAUUUUUUUUUUUUUUUUUGUGAGAGUGUGUGUGUGUGUGUGGUUUUUUUCUUUUUAACUUCUUUAAAGGCUUUCCCUAUAAGCAAACAUUAGGGCCAGCUAUUUUCUUUUUUUUUUCUUUUCUUUUUUCAAUUAUUUGGAUUUCAAAGUUGAGGAGCCAAAUCGAGUAGUUGAAUUUGUGCGUCAUACUUCAUAGGCUCCACUUGGCAGAUUGCACCAGGUGAGUAGUACAGAAGAUUGGGAGUGUUGCCCUGUUUUCCCUCAAAUUCCUGGUUCUAAAUAAGCUUGAGCAAUCCUUUUUAUGCAAAACCCAAAAAUUGUGCUACCUUCCUGCUUCUCUGCUUCUCCCAUUUUUGUGCCAAACAUGAAGUUUCCUGAUAUUCUCUGUUAGUGACUUCCUUUUUUUGUUUGUUUUUAAGAUACUUUGAGUCAUUGUUGAUAGCUUUUUGAGCAUUGACACAAUUAUAUCUCUUAAACUUGCUUAUAAUUUUCUUUUGGAGGUCAGGAAGGUUAGGGAACGGUUGUUUUUGGUGUUUGUGUUGGAAACAUGAAGUAUAUUUAACUUCUUGUCAUGUCAAAGGUCCAAACAAUGACAAUGGAUAUCUCUGCUAGAUGUUGGACCUAAAGAUGGUUUGUCAUUGUUGCUUUAUGUUGUUUCAAAGUAUUCUGCAAUAGAUUCUCUUAGGAAAAAUCAUGUUGGUUUUCUUCUGGUUUAAGGCAGAAAGCCAUUAGGUUCGUUAUAACUAAUGUACAUAAUUUGAUGUAGGAAUUCUUCAUCUGAUGUUGCAGACUAUCUUGAUCACAUCUAAUGGAGCUUGUAAGCUGGGUGCAUUUGGUUUCACACCUACAGGUCACUCAUCCAGUGAUUCAGCUAAUGUGCGGGCUUUCCACUAUGCUGUGAGUGUAAAUUUUCAUAUCACAGUGAAAAACAGAAUAUAAUUGCACGUUUUUUUUAGUUCAUUUUUCUACUGCAUUUCUAGUUAUUGAAUUUGUGAAUUGAUAGCAUUUCUUUUAUCUGAAUCUUAUUGCUGUUAAGCAUGCUGCUGGACCUGCAUUAGCUUUUUGAUUUAUCAUGGAAAAUCUGUUGUUUGAAUAGUAGUAUCUUAAACAGAUUUGGUUGCUAAUUGGUUCUUGGAAAGGUUUAACACAAAUUUUCUUCAUAAAUUAGUGCUUGGAGCUCUAUCAAUGCUAUAUCUGAGCUCAAGUAUGAGCUAUAUAUGAAGAGGAGCCAGGCAGAUCCAUAUGGUUUCAUGUUACAUUAGAGUUAGAUCUAUGUUGUUGAUGAGUAAAGAAUAGAAAGAAGUGUUGUGGGAGGGGUUUUGGAAGGACCGAAGUGCAUGAUAUAUGUAGAUUUGGUGAGUAUGAUCCUCUUAACGUGCUGGACUAUUAUGUUAUCACCUUAGACUCAAUCAAGACAAGUACAUCGAAGAUUAGGGAUGACAACGCGACAGGUGCCUGCCUUGCAGGGGAAGGAAUGGGACGGGAGAUUUUUCUCCUCCUACUUUAAAUGGGGUGGGGGAGGAUACCAAUAUAUAUUUUGACAAAAGCUUUGUCCUUCAUAUCAUUCGAUUCUUUUGAGUCUCUUUUGAUUAGUAGACAGACAAAAGAAUAUAUCAGUUUUUUGGUUAGAACUUACUGUUAUACUAGCACCAAAUGUUCUUGACUGUGAUUGCAACAUCUCCAAUUAUGGGAAGUAAGGGGCCGCUUGGUUUGAGGGGUUUGGCAUGUGGAAUGACAAUAAUUCCAAUAUUUAGUGCUUGGUACACUGUAAUGGCAAUUGAAAUAUUGGAAUCAUACCCAAUUCAUGAUUCCCGACUAAAUUGGGAGGAAUCACUCAAAACCCUCAGCUCAUUUCCAACAGUGAAUAAAUAAAAGACAAAAUAUUUUGUUAAAAUACUUUCUUUCUCCCUCUCCCAGACUUCCACCAUCGAACCUCCCCUUCCUCUCUGCCUUCAACAC